This 497-nucleotide ribosomal RNA is filed under the name uncultured bacterium. Its description in RNAcentral is "partial 16S ribosomal RNA". It matches the Rfam family "Bacterial small subunit ribosomal RNA", at positions 28 to 507 of the family's 1533-position model. The record is from RNAcentral.
GAUGAACGCUGGCGGCGAGCCUAAUACAUGCAAGUCGAGCGAACAGACGAGGAGCUUGCUCCUCUGACGUUAGCGGCGGACGGGUGAGUAACACGUGGAUAACCUACCUAUAAGACUGGGAUAACUUCGGGAAACCGGAGCUAAUACCGUAUAACAUGUUGAACCGCAUGGUUCAACAGUGAAAGACGGUCUUGCUGUCACUUAUAGAUGGAUCCGCGCCGCAUUAGCUAGUUGGUAAGGUAACGGCUUACCAAGGCAACGAUGCGUAGCCGACCUGAGAGGGUGAUCGGCCACACUGGAACUGAGACACGGUCCAGACUCCUACGGGAGGCAGCAGUAGGGAAUCUUCCGCAAUGGGCGAAAGCCUGACGGAGCAACGCCGCGUGAGUGAAGAAGGUCUUCGGAUCGUAAAACUCUGUUAUUAGGGAAGAACAAAUGUGUAAGUAACUAUGCACGUCUUGACGGUACCUAAUCAGAAAGCCACGGCUAACUACGUG